This 775-nucleotide unclassified non-coding RNA is filed under the name Hevea brasiliensis (rubber tree). The record is from RNAcentral. Lineage: Eukaryota; Viridiplantae; Streptophyta; Magnoliopsida; Malpighiales; Euphorbiaceae.
GAUUAAUGGCAGAGUUAAAUAAUUGAAUCCCUUAGAUGAUCAAACAUAUACUCGCUUUCUAAUGACAUACGUAGUCUAGAGAAGUUCAAUUUAAGAGAUAAAUCAUCUCCGACGUGGUUUCACAUGCCAUGACAUCAUAAUUUUUAUUGUAGAAAAUACCCUUUCAGCAACCAUCGUGACAGCCCCUAUCCUUUCCUAGCAAGCUUUCCAAGAACCAUUUUUCAGGAUUCGGCAGGCUCAUAAAAAAAAUGAGGAUAGAGAGAAGCGUACAAGAAAUCCCUUGCUUGAUAGGGCUUGAGGUUAGAGAUCCAAGACGAAAUCUCGACGCAUAAAACCAAAUGGUAUAUCUGCCAUCUGCAGCACUGAAAGCAAGUAUCCUGUGCCUUUUGGAUCUGGAAUUCUUUCAUUACGUUUGGAAAGCUGUAGUAGUUGACUUCAUGCAUGCUUUCACCGUGAAGACCUCUUUAUAUCCUAGCCCUCAGGGCCCAGGGGUAGAAUUUCUGGCCGGAGAUAUUUGUUAAAAUCCAAUGGCGAUUCCUUGCACCAGAUCUUUCCUGGUAUUCAAAUGGUUUAUUGGCGGGCUGGGACUAGAAAACAUGCCGAGUCUCCCUGCUUGAAGCCGCGCCAUUUGAGCAAGAAUAAUACUCCAUCUGCUGAGAAUGUGAAAAUCAAACCACUCACGAGUGAAAUACUUGGGUACGCCUACUGCAACCUUCAAAUCAAGGAAUAAUAAAAAAAUAUCCACAACUUAUACACGGAAGAGAAAACAUUAUCA